This 255-nucleotide ribosomal RNA is filed under the name uncultured bacterium. RNAcentral's name for it is "partial 16S ribosomal RNA". It matches the Rfam family "Bacterial small subunit ribosomal RNA", at positions 524 to 776 of the family's 1533-position model. The record is from RNAcentral.
UACGUAGGGGGCAAGCGUUGUCCGGAUUUAUUGGGCGUAAAGAGCGUGUAGGCGGCCAUUCAGGUCAGCUGUGAAAACUCGAGGCUCAACCUCGAGACGUCGGUUGAAACCGUUUGGCUAGAGUCCGGAAGAGGAGAGUGGAAUUCCCGGUGUAGCGGUGAAAUGCGCAGAUAUCGGGGAAGAACACCCGUGGCGAAGGCGGCUCUCUGGGACGGUACUGACGCUGAGACGCGAAAAGCGUGGGGAGCGAACAGG